GUAGGGAGCAAGCGUUGUCCGGAUUUACUGGGUGUAAAGGGUGCGUAGGCGGCUUUGCAAGUCAGAUGUGAAAUCUAUGGGCUCAACCCAUAAACUGCAUUUGAAACUGUAGAGCUUGAGUGAAGUAGAGGCAGGCGGAAUUCCCCGUGUAGCGGUGAAAUGCGUAGAGAUGGGGAGGAACACCAGUGGCGAAGGCGGCCUGCUGGGCUUUAACUGACGCUGAGGCACGAAAGCGUGGGUAGCAAACAGGAUUAGAUACCCUGGUAGUCCACGCUGUAAACGAUGAUUACUAGGUGUGGGGGGUCUGACCCCUUCCGUGCCGGAGUUAACACAAUAAGUAAUCCACCUGGGGAGUACGGCCGCAAGGUG
RNAcentral lists this ribosomal RNA (369 nucleotides) under uncultured bacterium. RNAcentral's name for it is "bacterial SSU rRNA". It matches the Rfam family "Bacterial small subunit ribosomal RNA", at positions 527 to 895 of the family's 1533-position model. The record is from RNAcentral.